This 374-nucleotide RNase P RNA is filed under the name Candidatus Peregrinibacteria bacterium. RNAcentral describes it as "RNase P RNA component class A". It matches the Rfam family "Bacterial RNase P class A". Rfam says of the family: Ribonuclease P (RNase P) is a ubiquitous endoribonuclease, found in archaea, bacteria and eukarya as well as chloroplasts and mitochondria. Its best characterised activity is the generation of mature 5'-ends of tRNAs by cleaving the 5'-leader elements of precursor-tRNAs. Cellular RNase Ps are ribonucleoproteins. The record is from RNAcentral. Lineage: Bacteria; Candidatus Peregrinibacteriota.
UUGUAGGAUUUUGUGAUCGCCUUGAUCAUAUGAUUAAGGAGGAAAGUCCGAACACCAUAGAAUGGGGUAACCGGUAACGCCGGUCAUUGCUUAUAGCAAUAUAAGCGAGAGGGAAAGUGCCACAGAGACUAUACUACACUCACCCAGGUGCGUGGAAAGGUGAAAAGCCUCGCAAAGCGAGGAGCUCCCGAGUAAUUGGGAUCGCUCGGCAAACCCUACCCGGUGCAAGGUGGGAUGGUAGCAAGGAAUAUCCUGCAUUCUACAGGCCCUUACGCUACCCACCGCUUAAGCUCAUUGUGCAAACAGUGAGAUAGAUAGAUGAUCACAUUCGCCUCGUGCGAACACAGAAUUCGGCUUAUAAAUCGUACAUCAGC